RNAcentral lists this long non-coding RNA (230 nucleotides) under Phoenix dactylifera (date palm). Its description in RNAcentral is "long non-coding RNA (PDAC_LNC013987)". Lineage: Eukaryota; Viridiplantae; Streptophyta; Magnoliopsida; Arecales; Arecaceae. The record is from RNAcentral.
UUUUUUACAACAUUAACUUCUGUGCAAUCUAUUUUCUGCAAUCUUUAAUUUCUGUGUAGAAUUUUCUGCAUCUUUAAAAUUUAUGCAAAAAACUCCUACACUUUUAAAAGGUGUGCAGAAAUUAUUGUUACUUUAAAAACUGUGCAUAUUAUCAACUGUUCUCAAAAUAUAUAGUGUUGCUUUGAAAAAUGUACAGAAAUUACAAAGUUACAUUACUUGUUAUAUUUCUU